UCAGUUAUCGUUUAUUUGAUAGUACCUUACUACAUGGAUACCUGUGGUAAUUCUAGAGCUAAUACAUGCUACAAACCCCGACUUCGGAAGGGGUGUAUUUAUUAGAUAAAAAACCAACGCCCUUCGGGGCUCCUUGGUGAAUCAUAAUAACUUAACGAAUCGCAUGGCCUUGCGCCGGCGAUGGUUCAUUCAAAUUUCUGCCCUAUCAACUUUCGAUGGUAGGAUAGUGGCCUACCAUGGUGGCAACGGGUAACGGGGAAUUAGGGUUCGAUUCCGGAGAGGGAGCCUGAGAAACGGCUACCACAUCCAAGGAAGGCAGCAGGCGCGCAAAUUACCCAAUCCCGAUACGGGGAGGUAGUGACAAUAAAUACUGAUACGGGGCUCUUUCGGGUCUCGUAAUUGGAAUGAGAACAAUUUAAAUCCCUUAACGAGGAACAAUUGGAGGGCAAGUCUGGUGCCAGCAGCCGCGGUAAUUCCAGCUCCAAUAGCGUAUAUUAAAGUUGUUGCAGUUAAAAAGCUCGUAGUUGAACCUUGGGCCUGCUGGCCGGUCCGCCUCACCGCGAGUACUGGUCCGGCUGGGCCUUUCCUUCUGGGGAACCUCAUGGCCUUCACUGGCUGUGGGGGGAACCAGGACUUUUACUGUGAAAAAAUUAGAGUGUUCAAAGCAGGCCUUUGCUCGAAUACAUUAGCAUGGAAUAAUAGAAUAGGACGUGCGGUUCUAUUUUUGUUGGUUUCUAGGACCGCCGUAAUGAUUAAUAGGGAUAGUCGGGGGCGUCAGUAUUCAGCUGUCAGAGGUGAAAUUCUUGGAUUUGCUGAAGACUAACUACUGCGAAAGCAUUCGCCAAGGAUGUUUUCAUUAAUCAGGGAACGAAAGUUAGGGGAUCGAAGACGAUCAGAUACCGUCGUAGUCUUAACCAUAAACUAUGCCGACUAGGGAUCGGACGGGAUUCUAUG
This 954-nucleotide ribosomal RNA is filed under the name Penicillium citrinum. Its description in RNAcentral is "SSU rRNA". It matches the Rfam family "Eukaryotic small subunit ribosomal RNA", at positions 106 to 1069 of the family's 1831-position model. The record is from RNAcentral. Lineage: Eukaryota; Fungi; Ascomycota; Eurotiomycetes; Eurotiales; Aspergillaceae.